AAUCUUCCACAAUGGGCGAAAGCCUGAUGGAGCAACGCCGCGUGAGUGAAGAAGGAUUUCUGAUCGUAAUACUCUGCUGUAAGGGGAGCACAAGUACUGUCGUAGCUGGCUGCACCUUGAUUGUACUUUAUCAUAAAGCCACGGCUAACUACGUCUCAUCAGCCGCGGUAAUACGUAGGUGGCAAGCGUUGUACGGAAUUAUUUGGCGUAAAGCGAGCGCAGGCGGGCCUUUAAGUCUGAUGUGAAAGCCCACGGCUCAACCGUGGAAGGUCAUUGGAAACUGGGGGACUUGAGUGCAGAAGAGGAAAGUGGAAUUCCAAGUGUAGCGGUGAAAUGCGUAGAGAUUUGGAGGAACACCAGUGGCGAAGGCGACUUUCUGGUCUGUAACUGACGCUGAGGCGCGAAAGCGUGGGGAGCAAACAGG
Molecule: ribosomal RNA, 424 nt
Filed under: uncultured bacterium
Lineage: Bacteria
Description: partial 16S ribosomal RNA
Rfam family: Bacterial small subunit ribosomal RNA
Source: RNAcentral